Taeniopygia guttata (zebra finch) is the source of this 9024-nucleotide long non-coding RNA. RefSeq lists it as uncharacterized. NCBI's taxonomy places the organism in Eukaryota, Metazoa, Chordata, Aves, Passeriformes, Estrildidae. The record is from RefSeq and is a predicted model, not a curated record.
UAUGACUGUGACUAGAAUUCUACUGAGAAAAAGAUUAGACUGCCAAAACUAUUUUACUAAUGAAAAGCAAAACCAUCAUCUUUGUCUCAUUAUGCUUGUCACAACAGUAAAAGUUCAUACCACAUAACUAUUUUAGUUUAUUCUUCUGUUUUUCUAGAAAUUGCAACUUCAUUCAAAACAGAUGCAAUCAAAAACAAAACAAAACAAAAAAAAAUCAAAACAAAACAAAAAAAAACGCCCCCAAAAAUCACCUCAAACACUAUGUGAAUCAAAACAAAGUGAAUAUUUCAAACCCUUUUUUGUGAAAAUCACUUGGUCUUAAGGUUGUUAGUAAAUGUAAGUAAUUAAAAAUUAGAGUCCUAUGAGUAAGUGUUAUUUCAUAAUGCCAGGCUAAAGACAAAGACAAGAGAGCAAUUGUACAGUUGUAGAGUUCUCCUUAAAGUAGCAAACCAGCAACUCAUAAACACAUUAGGAAAAAUAUGAAUAAUUUAGAUGUCAAGCUGACACAUACUGGACUAGCUUUCCUACCUCUUAAAAUUCAGAAGUCUGUACAGGUCUUAUAGUAUGAUUCAGAUCUCAUAAUUGAAUGAAACAAACUUAAUCAGAGGCAUUCAUUAAAUAACAAUUCUGUUAAAGAGAUAAUUAAAAAUGACAAAUUUAAGACCUACUUUCUUUUUCUCUAUCAUUCUAUGAAAAGUUCUACAAAGGCGUAGUUUGCUAAUUGAAUCUUGUGAUCCAAAUCAAUGUUUCAGGCACAUAAUUGCUUGGUGUUUUGCUCUUCUUGAAGAAAUCAUUGAAAUUUCCAUGAGAAUUGAGGAUGUACCUCCUUUUUAUUACUUUUUCAAACUAUCUUCUCAUUUAAGAGGUUGAUAAUGUCUUUUUCUGUACUGUCUUAAAAAGGAAUGGACUAAAAGCAGGAAAGAGAAUUUGGAGUAUAUAGAGAUUGGGUUUGCUUAAAAUUGUCUAUUUGAGAGAUUCUUUCAGGCGUAAGCUGGUCUUUAGUUUAAGUACAACAUAGUACUUAACUGCACUUUCAUUUUUGUCCCUGUUCAUGGAAGGACAAAAACACAUAUUCUACGUUGAGGGUGUAUUUCUGCAAUUUUGCACAACUACUUAAGUUUUGGUUUCCUCCCUUUUUCCUCCUUUCUUUUAUGUACCAAAUAAUGUCUUAAUAAUUAGUGAAGACUCUGUUUAGGUGUUUUCACUGCUUCUUCCUGAUGUAGAUAAUUUCUGCAACCAUGUAAAGAAUGAAAUAUUAUUUUGUCUUGCAUGCUGCUGUGAAUGGAAGUGACUACUGUCUAUCUUUGAGAAGCUUCAUCAUCAAAAGAUUAGAUGAAAACUUGAUUUGUUAAAAAAUACAGAAUGUAUUUAACAUAUUUUCAUAGAUGGAUAGAGUUUUUUCUUCAAAACUGCAAAUAAGGCUGACUGCAGUGCAUCAUUCUUAAUGAUAAGGGAAAUUACAGACUAGAAGUCAUCCAUUCUGGUGAAAAAUUCCACCAUCCUAUUUUUAUAAUAUUUUUAAGGGGUAUACUUAAAAUUUCUGGUUUAUUCAAGAAGGUUUUCUAGUUUAGUCAAUAACAGAUCUAGAUUUCUUGCUUGAAGUGCAUAAGUCUCCUCUGGUCAAUUCACUGCUUUUCUGUUUGUCUGUUUUACUUUGGGUAUUUUUCAUGUUUCUAGCACUCUUGUCAUUACAGAAAUCUGACAGGUCUGAUGUGACAUGUCUUUAUGACAUCACUGGGAUACUAAUAAGAGGGGGGGAAAAAUCAAUUUGACUCUCAUUUAACUAAAGUUGAAUCAUUAUUACAGAAUUUUUUUACUAAUUGCCCAAAACAAUUUUUCCAGCUGCUGGUUCCUACCAUCCUGUUUCCCAGUUGGCAAAUGGAAAAGCUAAGAACAAGUGGCACAGAGACUGCAGUUUCUGUACUUUACCAGAAACUUUCUCUUUGUUUUAGUACCUUGUAUUAAUACUUACUUUUUCUGAUUUGUGAUUGACUACUUGUAUGCUCUAUUAUUUUGAGAAAUUACUUAGGUAGCCACAGUUUGAGAUUAGCACAUCCUAAGAAAUGUGACUAGCAAUUCAGUUGUAGUUAUUUAGCUUCAAGUUGCUAGCAGCUUGUUAACCAUUUCCUAGCAGUGGGACUUCAAUUCCAUGUGAGGAGGGUUCUGUGGAUUUUCCAGUUUUCAGAAAAGUUUUCCAGAGACAAUACUACCAUGGGCUGCAGAUAGUAAAGGUGGACAGAUAUUGAACCUUGCAGCAGUUUGGGUGCCAUGCUUAUUUUCACAUUCUGCCCUGUAACUCCGAGACGUUUGGCAUCUACCCAUCACAACUUUGCUCAGACAGUGUUAUGGGGGCAUAGUUAAAAAUCACCAUUUUCAUACCUGUGUUUUUGUGUACUGUGGUUACUCUUCUCUGACUGCUCUAACAUGUCUUGGUGGCAUCAGUAACCCCCUGAAAGUUGGGAGUAAUGGGAUAACGAUGCCUGGAUAUGCCUCUUCUCUGUGCCUACUCUCCUGGCAGUCUACACCGGUGGCUGUCAAGCUGAAUUAAGCAUACCCAUAGACUAGAAACCCCUGAAACUGAAAUAUCUUCCAACUGGCAUUCUGACUGCUUUACAGCUUUGCAUUCUCUUUAUGCUAGACGUAAAGACAUAGACAAAAACUCACUGACUUCAUAUCUCAAUGUCUCCAUUACUUUUACAAGAGAGGUGACAUGAAGACACAAAAACAUAUCACCAUCAUGGAAAAUUCCCAGAACUUUGAGUCAUGACAGAAUGGUAAGUAUACAUGGUCUCUGCAUGGGAUAAGCCACUUAAGUAUCCAUUUGUAAAAUUUUAUCAUCUAAAACUCUUUAAGCAUAGUCCUAUGCCCUGAAAAAAAAUCUAUCCCAACUAUCUCUGAAAUUUCUGGGGUUAAUAUGAGGGUGGCAAGAUUUACAAUAUCAAACUAUCUCCUGUUGUGUAUGAACAGCGAUAAACUCCUAAGUACAACUGGAGCACAACCUUUAUUAGACAUUACCUGACUAGGCUUGUUCUUCUAUUGUAGCUCAAGAUUAAAGCAUUUGUUGCAACAUUUUUUAAAGUAAUCCUCUCUCUAGCUGACUCAUAACAGCUGUUAAAUAACUAGAUAUUUAGCUUAAGAUGAACUGAACCUAUAAAUUUAAAAGUGAUAUAAUAACCAACCCUUUAUGCAUAGCAAAAUACUUCUGGCAUUGUCUGAAUGCUUCAUGCUGAUGUCACUAUCUCCAUUUGAUUGAACUGAUAUAAUACAACAGCUGACAAAAGAUGAUACCAAUGGUGAUUAUGUAUUUCUGAUGCAUUAUGGAGGAGGAAAGGCACCACAUAGGAGCGAGAGGCACCAUGUGGUGGGAGAUGGAAAAGCUGACAGAAUGUUUUUGAAAUGUCCAAAAGAUUGUUCAGAGUUUGUUGCUAAAUGUUUCAUGGCAACACAUGCAAAAAGUACACAUGCUGUUUUUCCAUAUUUUCUUUACCCCCUUUGCCAGUUAUUGGGUAGUCUCUCUUUCCUCUGACAGAGCUGUCCAUAAAAUCAUAGCUUUGUUAUUAAUAAAAUGGUAGUAUAUUCUCCUUUUGUUUUCCCUGCCCUCUUAGGGGGUUCUGAUUUGUCAGAAACUUCUUAACAGUAAUACUGCCUGGUGCUCCUGCAGAAGCUCAUUCUUUCUUGACCAUAGUGCCUUGGAAGUGUUGACUUUUCUGAUGGGAGAGGCUGACACAUAGAUAAGUGAAGUGACUCAUGUAGGGCAGAUUCAGUCUUUUUAUUCAUAGCUGCCUCCUAACUUACAUCACAAGGAAACCUCAUACUUUUUUUUCCCCAAUGAAGAGAGAAUAUGCAUAUAGAGGCUUUUAUUAAAACAAAACUGUGUAAAAACUCAAACAGAUGAAAAAAAAAAAAACUUUUCUUCCAUCUUGUUGACAAAAGUAACUUGCUUCCUUUUCACAUAUUCUCUUGAUUUAAUUUGCACUGGUCCUAAGCUCUCCUGUAACCUUUGCAGUAAUAUUUGAAAAGAAAUAAUUUACUGUUGGAAUUAAAUUUAGCAGGUGAGAGGAGUUUUUUCUAUGUGCACAGGUUUCAUGAAGACUGAAGUAAAAUUACAAUUUUAAAGAUCACAGGAACAUUCCUGAAACCUUUUAAAAAGACACUCAUCUUUAAGCCUGGACUUGAAGUUUAAUGAUUUGACUAAUGUGUUGUCUCAGCGCAGACCUGAAUUCAUGAGAUAAUAAUUAAUACCCAGAAGUGAAAACACUCAGUUUUGUUCUUCCCACAGUAAACAUGAGAGCACCAGCGUGGGCACCAGUGGCUUCAGCACCUGUAAUUUCCUUCUCUUUUGAGCUACAUUUGUAUUGUUGGAAAGUCUAAGAGUUCUUAAUUUCACUAUACUCUGUGCAAACAUGGAGUAAAAUAACAGCUUUUUUGAGACCUGUGCACAAUAAGGCAGUAACACAGAUGUCAUGACACUAAUGUGAGCCAGCUGAUAGUAAAUCUCACGCAUAAUGUGUUGUUCUCCCUGGAGUGUAAGGGACAACCAGAGAGAAAUCUAAAGAUGUUCACCUGGAAAUGAGGUGGAGGAAAUUCUGGCACUGUGAACUACUCUGCAUUAUCAACCACCGUAUUGAUAAGAGAGAAGUAGAGACUGGUAUGUGAAAAAACCUUGAUAGUGACAAGAAGUCACUUAUAUUUGGUAAGAAAGACAGAGAAAGAAAGAAGGGGUAUGGUAUUACAAAGACUGAAGUCAUCUAAGCUCAAAUAUUAGAAUGUAGUAUUUUGUAGCAGCAAAGCAGGAAUGGAAAGGGCUGGUCUAAACUCCUGCUUGCAAGUCAUAAAUAAUAAUGUUGUGAUGAAUGUGUGGGAUUUUAAGAGUUGAAGAAAUCAAAUGUAUUGUUUGGAAUAGCCACAUCCCUGAGAAAGAGAAAACAGACAAAGGGAUGAAAGAGAUGAUCAAUAUUACAGAUUGAAUGUCUGUGAAGCAGGUAAGCAUAAAGGAAGGAAAGUAGGGAAAGUCUGCCAAAACAGAGGCUCAAAACCUCCCAAAGAGAUGUGACUGACAGAGACAGGACAAGACUUUUUUUUUUUUUUUUUUUUUUUUUUUUUUUUUUUUUUGGCAAAUAAAAUUGGCCUAGAAUAGUCUGUGGUUGCCUUGUUUCCUUAUGUAGCCAUAUCUUUUUGUAACUUUGACGAUUAAAUAGAAAUAUCUCAUAUAACAUUUAAAAAAAUGUACAAACCUCUAUCAGGUCAAGUGAAUUUAUAUUCCUCUAUCAGCUAAUCAGACAUAGUAAGUUUUUUAUUCAUUUGAAGAGUGUAUUAAGUAAACCAAUAAAAGAACCCAGUGUCAAUUGAUCAGUGAUAUUUUUGCCAGGGAAAAAUUAACCUGAAUGUUACUGGAAGCAAAACCACUUAACAAAAGACAUGGUCAAAAUGGUAGUGGGGAUGGAGAAUUACAUUCUUUCUUCGUCACGGGAGGCCAUGCCUGCACAGCAAUGAAUAGCCUCAUAAGGGCAUGACAAUUCUCUGACCUCUCCUUCUACAGCCUCUCAUUUUAGUUAUGCAGGCACUGCUUCUGUAUAUAUAGUCUGCUUUCCCUUGGGAAACUGAAUAGAAACCAUACUGUUUCAACUGUAACAAUGGUGUUAGUUCCUUUCUUUUCCCAUUCCUUAAUAACCUGUUAUGAAAUCUGAGUCAAUUCAGCAAAGUUCAGAGAUGUGUUUCGUGCAGGCAGAAGAAGGAGGCUGACAUUGAGGCUGCAGAGGGGGCACCAGCCAUCACUCAUAGUUGUGAACAACAUGCUCAAGAGACCUCCUGGCCAUGUACUGUCCUCUGCCCAAGCUGAGAGCAGUGCUUCCAUCAGAGCUAGAGAUUUCCUCUCCUGGAAGAGGAUGUGAUGUGAUGGGAAGGGGCAAAGGGGUUGUAGCACGUUGCACCACAUAAAACUGGCUUUUAUUAGCUGUGUUCCUCACAGGGCAACUGCUCCACAGCUGCAGUUUUAUAGCUCAGGGUGAGCAUCUCCAGAGGCUCUGCUUCAGGGCUAUGAACAGCUCAGUGUCCAUCUGUGCGGUCUUCAGUUAGCUAUAAGAAAAAAUAAAUAGCCACACAGUAUCCAGCACUCCUGGAAGAGGAGGAAUAGUUUUCUUACAGAUUUAAGUAUUUUCAUCUUUCACCCUCUCCAUUUGCACACCUUUAUGUUCUGCCAAGUAUUCCCUCUUAAACAGAUACACAUCUUUGUCCCAGACUUAAUUCCCGCCAUCAGCUUUGCUUUCUCUGCAAGCAUCAUGCUGUUGAAAUCACUAGUGAAAUGUACAAAAAAUGUUUGUAGUCAUACAUGGAUCAGUUUGGCUUACAAACACACGCUUGGAAAGUGGAAAUUUUCAGCUCAUUAGUGCCUCCCAUUUUUGCUCUAUGUAGAAGCUGUGCUCGUGUCAUGGUUGCUUGUGUCUUUGGAAGAUAGAGUAUUUUUAGAUUAUUGGCACCAGAAACACAGGAGAGACUGGCUCAGAAGUCUAAGCUAAGCUCCAUGAUGAUCACAACUUCUUUGGUUCAGAAAGUGGUGUUUGCUUCUUGCUCCUGCUCUCUCCUCCACCCUCCGGUUGAAGAAUUCAGCUUUUUUACCCUGGACAAAAAGCCAUGGGGAAACUGAUACAACUUUUUUUUUUUUUUUUUUUUUUUUUUUUUUUUUUUAAUUUAAACAUAAUUAUUGAUCAAAUUGAUCAAACACAGGUUUGAAAGCCCUGUGUCCAGUGUCCCUUCUCAAAUCCACGCCCCCUUCACACUCACUAAACUGCAUCUUGUACCUGUUUUUUAAUAGACACAAACUGAUACACAGCUGGUGAUGAGAAAGGUAAACAAAGAGAGGCAGAAGCAAUGUCAGCCCAUGCAUGAGCUUGUAGUAAUUGUUCCUCAGACCAGAAAAACUAAUACUUCUCUUUCUUCUUCAGGAAGGACUUUCUCUCAAGAGAGCCUGUAAACACUGGCAGGCAAAAAGGCAGGGAAGGAGUAAGUCACAAGCUGGAGAAGUCAGAUGGUAUCAGUAGAGAUUUUAGUAGACAGUAAAACAGCACAGGGCUGCAUGCCUGUAGCAUGUGCAGUUUCCAGAAGGGUGUCUAUCCCUUCCUCUCAGAUAAGAUAGUGUUAAGAAGGUCCAGUAUUAGAGAACAAGAAAAGGAAAGCAAUAUACUUCAACUCCUGGCUCAUGCCCCAGGCUAUGCCACAGGCGAGGUAUGCAUUACUGGGGAACAUGUGGUUUACAGGAAAAAAUACCUGAAGGUGUGUGUUGUGGUCUAAUAUUGGCCAAACACCAGGCACUCAUGAAAGCCAUUCAUUCACCCUUUUCUGCUACAGUUGUACAGAGGAGAGAGAACAAAAAUAACAAAAGGCUCAUGGGUUGCAAUAAGUACUGUGAGAAAAACACUCUAAGGGCAAAAAAAAGGUUCAAAUUUAAAGGUAUUUAUUCCACUUACUACAUCUGAUCUAGAUGAUAAUCAUAGAUAGUGGUGAUUUUAAUUUAUGAUACGCAAUUUUGUUAAUGGUAAUGUUAUAAAUGAAAAUUAACCCAGCCGAAUUAAAAAAAAAAUUAAAAUAAAAAUUUUAUUUCAGUGAUCAAAUUCUAUCUGAGCCAGCCACAAAGAAAAGGACAGUACCAAGCCCAGGAUUGGCACUGGGUGAGUCACAGGUUUGACUACUCCAGCAGAGAGUCUCCCUAUGCCCCACACCACCCUCUUGGUACAAGCAGUUUUUAAAGGAAAUAUUCCGCCCGAGGCUGGGAUUUCAGCAAUCCAUCUUUUCUUCCCAUUCAAAGUCCCACAUAUUCAUAAAGUCUCUUUUCUCUGUGUUGGGGUGGAACAAUUCGGUGUCUGGUGGUGAUGAAUCUUCUUGAUGGAGUUACUGGAACACGGCAUUCAGAUGUAUUAGCCUGGAGGAUUUCAGUGAUCCCAAUCUAGAGUCCUUGCCAUUCCUGUAUCACCUCCUGUAUCACCAUCUCCAGGUGAGCUGCAUGUUGUCAGAGACUGGUUUUCGAAUAUGUGGGGGCAACUCCCAAUGCCCUCCCAUAUUUGAAAACCAUGUGUGCUUCCAACAAUAUCAAAUAUUACAUAUACCAUAUUAUACUGGCGCGAAUUACAUUCAUUACACAUAACAGCUACAAAAAUAAAGAUCACAUGAAUUCAGAUAUAAAUUGAACAAAACACUUGGCAAAUGUGAAGUCAUUUUAUCUGAUGUAUGUUUUGUGAAGAGCGGUCUGUCUAAUAGUUUGAACACUGAAGAGAGAAAAUCAGUAUCAACAACGUAUGCUCUCUGACACAAUGGAGACUACUUAACUGUUAAUAGGACACCUUAUGUAUCCAGGAGAAUUGCAAAUGAACAUUUUUUAGGUCAAGGCUUUUAUAGGUAAAAAUUGGUUCAGCAAAACUAAAAUGAAAAAUAAAAAUUUUAUUUAGUAUCGAAUUGUCUCUGAGGCAGACACAAGGAAAAGGACAGUGUCGAGCCCAGGGUCAGCACUGGGUGCAUGGCAGGAAGGCCACCUCUCGGCAGAGGUUCCCCUGGACGCAUAACACCACCCUCUUGGACCCAGCAGUUCUUAUAGGAAAUUUUCUGCCUGAGGCUAAGAUUUCGGCAAUCUGUCUCUUUUUUCCAUUCCAAGUCCCACAUAUUCAUAAAGUUUCUUUUCUCCAGGUCGAGGCUGAACAGUCUGAGCCAGGUGUGGACGAUUUUCCCUGAUGGAAUUACAGGAACCGUGGCAUUCAGAUGUAUCAGCCCGGAGGAUUCCAGCGAUCCCAAUCUUGGGUCGUUACCGGAAUGAUCAAUGCCUAGACGAUCCUGUAUCACCUCAAGAAACAACCCAUCUCCGGGCAAGCCACAUGUAUGAAAUUGUAGUGGCGGGGCUACAGAGGUAUCUUCUGUGAGAAGCUGCUGGAAGUUUCUUCCAUGUGCCAGGAAAAUCCCUGGUGGCUCCAAAGAUGGACAUGCUGCUGGCCAAGGCUGGGCCAACUAGAAAUUAUGGUAAUGCCUCUAUGAUAACACACU